AAUGAAACAGAUUAUAUAUAUGAUUUAAGUGAUAUAAUCAUAAACCUAAGCUCUUGUUUAUACAUAAUUAUAUAUGUAUGCAGGCCUAACGGGCCAGGUUUUUGUGGGCGGGCCUGGCCAGGCUUUCUUGGGCUUAAUCGGGCAGGGCCUAUGGGUCGGGCCGGGCUUCAAACUCCCAAGCCCAAGCCUAGCCCGGCUUAAGGUGGGCCGGGCCAUCUCAAAACCCAUAACGGGCCGAGUCGGAAUUUUUUUCAAUGGGCCAGGCGGGCCCCCAUCAGCCCAUGAACCCGCAGGCCAAAUGAUGAGGCCUACUAGCCUAGGCCAAUCUUUUUAACCAAUCCCCACUAGGAUGGCUGACCAACAAAAAAAAACCUCCACUUGAAAUAUUAGAAUUUGACUCCCACUAGGCCACAGACAUUCCCUCUUUCCUUCUUUAAUAAAAAACAAAAAACAGAAUUCUCUCUCUCUCUCUCUCUCUCUCUCUCUCUCUCUCUCUCUCUCUCUCUCUCUCUCUCUCUCUCUCUCUCUCUCUCACACACACACACACACACACA
RNAcentral lists this long non-coding RNA (554 nucleotides) under Prunus persica (peach). Its description in RNAcentral is "long non-coding RNA (PPER_LNC004899)". Lineage: Eukaryota; Viridiplantae; Streptophyta; Magnoliopsida; Rosales; Rosaceae. The record is from RNAcentral.